This 255-nucleotide ribosomal RNA is filed under the name uncultured Hymenobacter sp. RNAcentral's name for it is "partial 16S ribosomal RNA". It matches the Rfam family "Bacterial small subunit ribosomal RNA", at positions 98 to 353 of the family's 1533-position model. The record is from RNAcentral. Lineage: Bacteria; Pseudomonadati; Bacteroidota; Cytophagia; Cytophagales; Hymenobacteraceae.
GCGCACGGGUGCGUAACGCGUAACCAACCUACCCGAAUCUGGGGGAUAGCCCGCCGAAAGGCGGAUUAAUACCGCAUAAGACUAUAAUACGGCAUCGUGUAGUAGUUAAAGAUUUAUUGGAUUCGGAUGGGGUUGCGUGCCAUUAGCUAGUUGGUUGGGUAACGGCCGACCAAGGCGACGAUGGCUAGGGGAGCUGAGAGGCUGGUCCCCCACACGGGCACUGAGAUACGGGCCCGACUCCUACGGGAGGCAGCA